Molecule: unclassified non-coding RNA, 272 nt
Organism: Aotus nancymaae (Ma's night monkey)
Lineage: Eukaryota; Metazoa; Chordata; Mammalia; Primates; Aotidae
Rfam family: Metazoan signal recognition particle RNA
About the family: The signal recognition particle (SRP) is a universally conserved ribonucleoprotein. It is involved in the co-translational targeting of proteins to membranes. The eukaryotic SRP consists of a 300-nucleotide 7S RNA and six proteins: SRPs 72, 68, 54, 19, 14, and 9.
Source: Ensembl
GCCAGGCGUGGUGGCACACACCUGUAGUCCCAGAUACUUGGGAGACUGAGGCAGGAGGAUCACCUGGGACCAGGAAUUCCGGGCUGUAGUAUACUAUGCCAGUGCAGUGUCCACACUCAAUUUGGCAUCAGUUUGGUGACCUCCUGAGAGCGGGGGAACUGGCCCUCGUUGGAAAUGGAGCAGGUCAGAACUCCUGUGUUAAUCACUGAUGGGACCAUGCCUGUGAAUCGCCACUGCACUCCAUCUGGACAACAUAGCGAGACCCUAUCUCU